This 777-nucleotide ribosomal RNA is filed under the name Enterococcus casseliflavus. RNAcentral's name for it is "bacterial SSU rRNA". It matches the Rfam family "Bacterial small subunit ribosomal RNA", at positions 52 to 801 of the family's 1533-position model. Lineage: Bacteria; Bacillati; Bacillota; Bacilli; Lactobacillales; Enterococcaceae. The record is from RNAcentral.
AACAUGCAAGUCGAACGCUUUUUCUUUCACCGGAGCUUGCUCCACCGAAAGAAAAAGAGUGGCGAACGGGUGAGUAACACGUGGGUAACCUGCCCAUCAGAAGGGGAUAACACUUGGAAACAGGUGCUAAUACCGUAUAACACUAUUUUCCGCAUGGAAGAAAGUUGAAAGGCGCUUUUGCGUCACUGAUGGAUGGACCCGCGGUGCAUUAGCUAGUUGGUGAGGUAACGGCUCACCAAGGCAACGAUGCAUAGCCGACCUGAGAGGGUGAUCGGCCACACUGGGACUGAGACACGGCCCAGACUCCUACGGGAGGCAGCAGUAGGGAAUCUUCGGCAAUGGACGAAAGUCUGACCGAGCAACGCCGCGUGAGUGAAGAAGGUUUUCGGAUCGUAAAACUCUGUUGUUAGAGAAGAACAAGGAUGAGAGUAAAAUGUUCAUCCCUUGACGGUAUCUAACCAGAAAGCCACGGCUAACUACGUGCCAGCAGCCGCGGUAAUACGUAGGUGGCAAGCGUUGUCCGGAUUUAUUGGGCGUAAAGCGAGCGCAGGCGGUUUCUUAAGUCUGAUGUGAAAGCCCCCGGCUCAACCGGGGAGGGUCAUUGGAAACUGGGAGACUUGAGUGCANAAGAGGAGAGUGGAAUUCCAUGUGUAGCGGUGAAAUGCGUAGAUAUAUGGAGGAACACCAGUGGCGAAAGCGGCUCUCUGGUCUGUAACUGACGCUGAGGCCCGAAAGCGUGGGGAGCAAAAAGAAUAAAUACCCCUGGGUAUCCACGCC